RNAcentral lists this transfer RNA (67 nucleotides) under Ixodes australiensis. RNAcentral describes it as "tRNA-His". The record is from RNAcentral. Lineage: Eukaryota; Metazoa; Arthropoda; Arachnida; Ixodida; Ixodidae.
ACUUAAUUAGUUUAAAUUAAUUUAAAAUAAUAAAUUGUGGAUUUAUAGAUGAUUAGUUCAUUAAGUA